UGAUUUAGGGAUUGCUUGGGCAAAAGAAAAACAGUUGGUCCUGUCAAUUCAGGCCGGUGGGAUUUUCGCAUCUGCUAGGAAUACUGGGUCAUCAUGAUGAACGAUAUGAGAUAUAUACUAGUGCCUGGAUCAAUUUUUGAGACUGAUUUGAGUCAAGGGCAAUGAUGGCAAUCAAUUGGAGUUGAAAUCGAAGGCAGGAUGGUCCGAUUCAUGUAAAGUUUUUUUGUAAACAAUUAGGGAUGCAUGAAAUAUAACCACACAGCCCACUAAGAUGGAAAUCGAGGACAUAGAUGAAGAUAAAGAAGUUGAGGUCAAAGAAUCAAACUCUGAUUGCUACAUUCAACACUCCAUCACGUACUACUCGUACACCUUGUUUAUUCACUUUUAAGAUUUUUGAAAAAUUACAAGUACGAGGAAGGAAGAAGGCGCAUGGGCUUAGGGCGCGCUAGUCCGCGAGUGGGCGAGGGAAACUUGGCAUGUGGCGGCGUGUGGCGGCGUAUGAGAGCAUGUGCAGGCACAUGGCUUAACCCAUUUCAUCCCGUUCGACUUCUGUUUACAUAUUCCUUAGUCCUUCAAUACUAACCCUAAAAAUUAUUAAUCGAAUGAUUCAUCAGUGGAAUUAGAGGCAAUUAACUAGCCGCUUUGAGUUUGAACUUGUAAAUGGUUAUGAGCAUGUUCAUCAUGUAAUUUGAGGUUUAAGAUUCACGAC
This is a long non-coding RNA of Cucurbita moschata (crookneck pumpkin), 709 nucleotides long. RefSeq lists it as uncharacterized. NCBI's taxonomy places the organism in Eukaryota, Viridiplantae, Streptophyta, Magnoliopsida, Cucurbitales, Cucurbitaceae. The transcript is spliced from 5 exons. The record is from RefSeq and is a predicted model, not a curated record.